Molecule: transfer RNA, 55 nt
Filed under: Phytophthora castaneae
Lineage: Eukaryota; Oomycota; Peronosporomycetes; Peronosporales; Peronosporaceae
Description: tRNA-Met
Rfam family: tRNA
About the family: Transfer RNA (tRNA) molecules are approximately 80 nucleotides in length. Their secondary structure includes four short double-helical elements and three loops (D, anti-codon, and T loops). Further hydrogen bonds mediate the characteristic L-shaped molecular structure. tRNAs have two regions of fundamental functional importance: the anti-codon, which is responsible for specific mRNA codon recognition, and the 3' end, to which the tRNAs corresponding amino acid is attached (by aminoacyl-tRNA synthetases). tRNAs cope with the degeneracy of the genetic code in two manners: having more than one tRNA (with a specific anti-codon) for a particular amino acid; and 'wobble' base-pairing, i.e. permitting non-standard base-pairing at the 3rd anti-codon position.
Source: RNAcentral
GUUAACUUAUCAGGCUCAUAAUCUGAAGAUGUAGGUUCAAGUCCUACUCUCAUCA